AGAGUUUGAUCCUGGCUCAGGAUGAACGCUAGCGGUGUGCCUAACACAUGCAAGUCGUGCGAUCGAGCCAGACUAAUCACCCUUCGGGGUGUGAAGACUGGUGACGGAGCGGCGGACUGGUGAGUAACACGUGGCUAACCUACCUUCUUGACGGGGAUAACUAUUCGAAAGAAUAGCUAAUACCCGAUAUUGCUGAAGAUCGAUGGAUCUUCAGCCAAAGGCGGCCUAGUCGUCACAAGAGGAUGGGGCUGCGCCCUAUUAGCUUGUUGGUAAGGUAAUGGCUUACCAAGGCAAUGAUGGGUAGCUGGUCUGAGAGGAUGAUCAGCCACAUUGGGACUGAGAUACGGCCCAGACUCCUACGGGAGGCAGCAGUGGGGAAUAUUUCACAAUGGGCGAAAGCCUGAUGGAGCAACACCGCGUGGGGGAUGAAUGCCUUCGGGUUGUAAACCCCUUUUCUGGGGGAAGAAUAAGGUCGGGAGGGAAUGCCCGUCCGAUGACGGUACUCCAGGAAUAAGGAUCGGCUAACUUCGUGCCAGCAGCCGCGGUAAGACGAAGGAUCCGAGUGUUAUCCGGAAUUACUGGGCGUAAAGGGCGUCUAGGCGGCCAAGUAAGUCACCCGUGAAAGUCCGCGGCUCAACCGCGGAAUGCCGGGUGAAACUGCUUGACUUGGGUAUAGGAGAAGAGGGUGGAACUCACAGAGUAGCGGUGGAAUGCGUAGAUACUGUGAGGUACCCCGAUGGCGAAGGCAACCCUCUGGCCUGCUACCGACGCUGAAGCGCGAAAGCGUGGGGAGCAAAGGGGAUUAGAUACCCCCGUAGUCCACGCCGCAAACGAUGUUCACUUGGUGUCGGUCGCUGAUACAGAUCGGUGCCGGGAGCUAACGUGUUAAGUGAACCGCCUGGGGAGUACGGCCGCAAGGCUA
Molecule: ribosomal RNA, 922 nt
Filed under: uncultured bacterium
Lineage: Bacteria
Description: bacterial SSU rRNA
Rfam family: Bacterial small subunit ribosomal RNA
Source: RNAcentral